RNAcentral lists this ribosomal RNA (491 nucleotides) under uncultured bacterium. Its description in RNAcentral is "partial 16S ribosomal RNA". It matches the Rfam family "Bacterial small subunit ribosomal RNA", at positions 29 to 507 of the family's 1533-position model. The record is from RNAcentral.
AGUGAACGCUGGCGGUAGGCCUAACACAUGCAAGUCGAACGGCAGCACAGUAAGAGCUUGCUCUUACGGGUGGCGAGUGGCGGACGGGUGAGGAAUACAUCGGAAUCUACUUUUUCGUGGGGAUAACGUAGUGAAACUUACGCUAAUACCGCAUACGACCUACGGGUGAAAGCAGGGGAUCUUCGGACCUUGCGCGAUUGAAUGAGCCGAUGUCGGAUUAGCUAGUUGGCGGGGUAAAGGCCCACCAAGGCGACGAUCCGUAGCUGGUCUGAGAGGAUGAUCAGCCACACUGGAACUGAGACACGGUCCAGACUCCUACGGGAGGCAGCAGUGGGGAAUAUUGGACAAUGGGCGCAAGCCUGAUCCAGCCAUACCGCGUGGGUGAAGAAGGCCUUCGGGUUGUAAAGCCCUUUUGUUGGGAAAGAAAAGCAGCAGGUUAAUACCCCGCUGUUCUGACGGUACCCAAAGAAUAAGCACCGGCUAACUUCGUG